Molecule: ribosomal RNA, 497 nt
Filed under: uncultured bacterium
Lineage: Bacteria
Description: partial 16S ribosomal RNA
Rfam family: Bacterial small subunit ribosomal RNA
Source: RNAcentral
GAUGAACGCUGGCGGCGUGCCUAAUACAUGCAAGUCGAGCGAACAGACGAGGAGCUUGCUCCUCUGACGUUAGCGGCGGACGGGUGAGUAACACGUGGAUAACCUACCUAUAAGACUGGGAUAACUUCGGGAAACCGGCGCUAAUCCCGGAUAAUAUAUUGAACCGCAUGGGUCAAUAGUGAAAGACGGUUUUGCUGUCACUUAUCGAUGGAUCCGCGCCGCAUUAGCUAGUUGGUAAGGUAACGGCUUACCAAGGCGACGAUGCGUAGCCGACCUGAGAGGGUGAUCGGCCACACUGGAACUUAGACACGGUCCAGACUCCUACGGGAGGCAGCAGAAGGGAAUCUUCCGCAACGGGCGAAAGCCUUACGGAGCAACGCCGCGUGAGUGAUGAAGGCCCUCGGAGCGUAAUACUCUGUUAUUAGGUAAGAACAAAUGUGGAAGUAACUAUGCACGGCGUGACGGUACCUAAUCAGAAAGCCACGGCUAACUACGUG